GUGCUUGCUUUGGCAGCUCGUAUACUAAAAUUGGAACUAUACAGAGAAGAUGAGCAUGGCCCCUGAGCAAGGAUGAUGCACAAAUUCAUGAAAAAAUGGAUACAGAUUUUC
Molecule: small nuclear RNA, 111 nt
Organism: Loxodonta africana (African savanna elephant)
Lineage: Eukaryota; Metazoa; Chordata; Mammalia; Proboscidea; Elephantidae
Source: Ensembl